GGAAGUAGUUCAGUGGUAGAACACCACCUUGCCAAGGUGGGGGUCGCGAGUUCGAACCUCGUCUUCCGCUCCA
This 73-nucleotide transfer RNA is filed under the name Priestia megaterium. Its description in RNAcentral is "Bacillus megaterium tRNA-Gly". It matches the Rfam family "tRNA". From Rfam's summary of the family: Transfer RNA (tRNA) molecules are approximately 80 nucleotides in length. Their secondary structure includes four short double-helical elements and three loops (D, anti-codon, and T loops). Further hydrogen bonds mediate the characteristic L-shaped molecular structure. tRNAs have two regions of fundamental functional importance: the anti-codon, which is responsible for specific mRNA codon recognition, and the 3' end, to which the tRNAs corresponding amino acid is attached (by aminoacyl-tRNA synthetases). tRNAs cope with the degeneracy of the genetic code in two manners: having more than one tRNA (with a specific anti-codon) for a particular amino acid; and 'wobble' base-pairing, i.e. permitting non-standard base-pairing at the 3rd anti-codon position. The record is from RNAcentral. Lineage: Bacteria; Bacillati; Bacillota; Bacilli; Caryophanales; Bacillaceae.